UUUAGUUUGUAUCAUACAAAUCUAAAUUUGGAGUGUUAAACAGUUUUAAGCCUUAAAGUACAUUUUUCUUCAUAGUUUUUGAGUGUUAAUGAGUAGGCUAGAAUUGUCAGUUGCUGUGCAUCAUAUGGUUCUAAAAUCAUCAGCAUUGUUAUAAUCAUGCCUAAACAACAGUAUGACUGAAAUGCUUGUAUAUUUUCUUUCAUUUAUUUUAGCAAUAUGACUUUUAAAUCUUUUUUUGUUCUCUGGCAGUUCAUUCAAGUAUUUUAGCUGGAAACUUUUAGGAUGUGACUUGGGUUGAAUUAAUUUAAUUUUCAUGAGUGAUAGCUUGAACAUGUGAUAGCAUUGUGUAUUAGGUGCACAGGUGGAAGGAGAAGUUGAGAUGUUGCAUUGAUUUCUUGCUGUUUUCUAGUGCAAUGAAAAAGGUUAUAUUUAAUAGAUGAUAAUGGA
This 447-nucleotide unclassified non-coding RNA is filed under the name Hevea brasiliensis (rubber tree). The record is from RNAcentral. Lineage: Eukaryota; Viridiplantae; Streptophyta; Magnoliopsida; Malpighiales; Euphorbiaceae.